CCCUUGAAGACGACGAGGUAGAUAGGUUGGAGGUGGAAGUGCAGCAAUGCAUGGAGCUGACCAAUACUAAUCGGUCGAGGGCUUAUCCAAAU
This 92-nucleotide ribosomal RNA is filed under the name Paenibacillus sp. P3E. Its description in RNAcentral is "partial 23S ribosomal RNA". It matches the Rfam family "Bacterial large subunit ribosomal RNA", at positions 2835 to 2925 of the family's 2925-position model. The record is from RNAcentral. Lineage: Bacteria; Bacillati; Bacillota; Bacilli; Caryophanales; Paenibacillaceae.